Molecule: non-coding RNA, 279 nt
Organism: Taeniopygia guttata (zebra finch)
Lineage: Eukaryota; Metazoa; Chordata; Aves; Passeriformes; Estrildidae
Source: Rfam
GUUAAGAGCUAGGGCUAGGACUUGGAGGAUGUGUAGGCAAAACGGAAAGAGAGCCGGGGGAAGAAAAACCGAAAUGGAUUCAUUCUCUGUCCUGGAUGGAGGAGGAGAGGAGAAGAGAAGAGAAGAGAAGGGGACGUGCGAGCUUCCUUCAACUGCCUCUGUCCGGUGAAAAGUGCUCAGACCCCCGGGGCUGCGCCGGACUCCGGAGUCCGCGCGGACUUUCGCGCUGAGCUGCCAAUCAAACCGCUCACAGCCACCACCCUGCUCUGGCACCGACAU